CUGCACCUGCUACCAUGGCACCGCCGGGACUCCUCCCCACUGCUUCCACCUCGACAAUGGUUUCCCCAACCCCGCCGGCUUCGCCACCAGCCACUCCUUCAUCCACAAUAAUCAUAGGAGACAGCUACACGGGCGAGCCUACGAGCAAGACCUCGACGACGCUGGCGGUGGAAGACCACGGAUGUGAGGGCGCUUGGAAGGCCGCGGUGCCGCGAUUAAGUCAUGAGGACCGCGGCGGCAGCAGUCAAAAUCUUCAUGAAGUCUCUCCGCUUACCCUCCCUCGGAGUCAGACCAUGGCUGCACGGAGCAGGUCCACCCACUAGGGGCUGGCCGCCGUGUCCGCCAUGAGGAUUCCUGCACUAAGCCUUGCCGGCAUUCCCGGCCACCAAGUUGGGCAAGUGCUAGAACCCAGGAGCAUAUGAUUUUGCUGCUCAUGACAUACGCGUCAAUAUUGCAAUCAACUCUGACUGCAAUUGUAUAGACAAGGGCCUGCAUUCUAUAUGGAAGGUUCGACAUUGAAGCUGCUCGCAUUGAUCUGCAAUAGAUCUUGACUUCAGCGGAAAAUGAGGUUUCAUGGAGGCAGUGCCUUAUUCUACAUGAUGGGAAUUCAACGGCAUUUUAUUGUUUUGUUCUUAAAUACUAGCUGGGUGUGCCGUCUAUUCACAGAUGAAGUAAUCUGAACAUCUCUUGCAGACAAAACGCUCGGGGAAAGUUCCCAGCCGUGCACCUGUGACCGCUGAAGAGGCAUACUGUUUUAGGAAUGCAUGACAGAC
Molecule: long non-coding RNA, 773 nt
Organism: Triticum aestivum (bread wheat)
Lineage: Eukaryota; Viridiplantae; Streptophyta; Magnoliopsida; Poales; Poaceae
Exons: 4
Source: RefSeq, a predicted model, not a curated record